UACGUAGGCAGCGAGCGUUGUUCGGAAUUACUGGGCGUAAAGAGUGUGUAGGCGGUGCUCUAAGUUCGGUGUGAAAUCUCCUGGCUUAACUGGGAGGGUGCGCCGGAAACUGGGGUGCUCGAGCGUGGGAGAGGAAAGCGGAAUUCCUGGUGUAGCGGUGAAAUGCGUAGAUAUCGGAAGGAACAUCAGUGGCGAAGGCGGCUACCUGGACUGAUACUGACGCUGAGGCGCGAGAGCGUGGGGAGCAAACAGC
This 253-nucleotide ribosomal RNA is filed under the name uncultured bacterium. RNAcentral's name for it is "partial 16S ribosomal RNA". It matches the Rfam family "Bacterial small subunit ribosomal RNA", at positions 524 to 776 of the family's 1533-position model. The record is from RNAcentral.